Oncorhynchus tshawytscha (Chinook salmon) is the source of this 2753-nucleotide long non-coding RNA. Lineage: Eukaryota; Metazoa; Chordata; Actinopteri; Salmoniformes; Salmonidae. The record is from Ensembl.
CAAAUGUGAAUGCAUAUCCAUAAGUCUAUUAAAAGUUGUUAGAUUUUAUUGAAUGCGAUUGUCUCCCUUCAACACCAUCUGAUAAGAAAAAUAUCAGAUAGAUUUCAUCAAGCCAAGGAGUGAUAGGAAACAGAAUGUUUGAGGAAAAAGAUUUGGGUAUCAACAAGGAAAGGUCUAUUAAAAUAUUCAAAUGAGCUUGAAGCACAUUCAGUUGGCGACCACUUAUUUCUCCAAUAGAUUCUUCGGUUUCAAAGAGAUUUGCAUUCUUCUGCCUUGCCAUCAGGACGCUUAGAUGUCAGACCCUAACAUGAAGAAUAUCCACAUUUUACAUUGCUAUUAUAUUUGUUCAGGCUGUAACAAUGUCUAACAAAGUAGUGAAACAACUUAUUUAGUUGCACACAAGUAAAAAAAUAAGUUGUGUUGUGUCAAAAAAGAGAAUUUAACCCGAACACAUGAGAACUCCUCUACGUUAUAACCCCUCCUAGGGCGUAAUCACAAUUAACCUGGUAAUGCAAUCCUGUCUAUACACAAAGUAUGUGGACACCCCUUCAAAUUUGUGGAGUCGGCUAUUUCAGCCACACCCGUUGCUGUCAGAUAAGUAAAAGUGUUGUUUUUUUACAAGCACACAGCCAGGCAAUCUCCAUAGCCAGACAUUGGCAGUGGAAUAGCCUCACUGAAGAGCUCAGUUACUUUCAACAUGGCACCGUCAUAGAAUGCCACCUAUCCAACAAGUCAGUUCAUGUAAGUGCUGUUAUUGCAAAGUGGAAAUGUCUAGGAGCAACAACAGCUCAAGCGCGUAAAAUUAUAUAGUCGGUCUUCGGUUACAACACUCACUACCAAACUGCCUCUAGACGCAACAUCUGCAGAAGAACUGUUCGACGGGAGCUUCAUGAAAUGGGUUUCCAUGGACGAGCAGCCACACAUAAGCCUAAGAUCACCAUGCGCAAUGCCAAACUCGGCUGGAGUGGUAUAAAGCUCGCCACCAUUGGACUCUGGAGCAGGGGAAACGCAUUUUCUGGAGUGCUGAAUCACCAUGUCAGUCCAACAGACAAAUCUGCGUUUGGCAGAUGCCAGGAAAACACCACAAGCCCCAAUGCACAGUGCCAACUGUAAAGUUUGGUGGAGGAAUAAUGGGUUGUUUUACAUGUUUGGGCUAGACCCCUUAGUUCUAGAAGGGAAAUCUUUCCUCUACUGCAUACAAUGGUUGACCUUCUGGGCGAUUCUGUGGUUCCCACUUUCUGGUAAGUUUGGGGAAGGCCCAUUCCGGUUUCAGAAGGACAAUGCCCCUGUGCACAAGGCGAGCUCCAUUUAUUUGUAUUUUACCUUUAUUUAACUAGGCAAGUCAGUUAAGAACAAAUUCUUAUUUUCAAUGACGGCCUAGGAACAGUGGGUUAACUGCCUGUUCAGGGGCAGAACGACAGAUUUGUACCUUGUCAGCUCGGGGAUUUGAACUUGCAACCAUUCGGUUACUAGUCCAGCGCUCAAAACCACUAGGCUACCCUGCUGCCCCAUACAGAAAUGGUUUGUCAAGAUCGGUGUGGAAGAACUUAACUGGUUUGUUAAAUCACAAAAUUGUUAAUCAGAAACACAAGGCUCAAGGGAAAUUAGCAAACGGCAAUCUUAACAGAAACCGUUCUGAUCUAGAUUAACAGCUGAGGAACAUAAAACUACAGUAUGUGGCAGCACAGGUUUUGCAUAUAUAAUUACACUUGACAAUUUCAGAAGCCCUCAGAAAAUGCAUGCAAAAAAAAGUAACCUGAAGUCAAUUCUGAAGGUAACUGCUGAGAAAGAACAGGUUCCACACGUACAGACAUACUCUGGUAGCAGCUUCAGAGGGUGGUGUGUGUGUCUUUAUCCAGAUUACAGAAGUAGGUGAACACGUCGCCAUAGGUGUGAGAACUUGGAGAUGUUUUCUGUUGACUGGGUAGGAGAAAGACAGACUUCCACAGUCCAGCUGUACUCUGAUCCUCAUGCUUCACUGUGAAGGAUCCCUAAAGGACGACAGGCGAGACCGCUCUGACACCCACCAUGAUCUACACACAGAGAGAGAGAGCAGGGUUUAUAAAAAGUAUGACAGAGGUAAUUGAAUACCAAAGCUGGGUCAGCAAACAGCUGGUGAGGGCCAAAGACUGGAUACCAACUUUACAGAUACUGGUAAUAGAAUGUGGCAACUCGACAGUGCAUGACAGGAAAAUCUUCCCCUUGCAAACAAUGUCUGGUUACCGCAAAUGGCUUUUUCUUCCUGCUUCAAGAAAGGUGAGGGUACAUGUGGUUCCGUCACCGCCGUGGAAAGCAGGGUUCUCCGUAGAGAAUCUGUCCAAGGAACAUCGCACGUGAAACUCCUGAACCUCCAGAAGUCACGCCUUCGCUUCCUUAUUUUAAUUUAUGCAACCUUGUUUCGCCACAAGCAAUUGUCCUUGCAAGAGUAUAUCACAAGGUUGCAAAUUACUGUGCAUCUUUAGCAUGUUACACGACCAGCAAGACGGGCCCUGGGGUGUAAAUAUUAAUCUAAACUAAUAUUCAGGUCCCCCCCGUUUCGUCCCGAUUAAGACAUUUCUGGCAACAGAAUCGGCGUAAUGAAUACGCCCCAAUACUUACCUAUAGCUAGCUACCUACAUACUCACAAACAAACCCUAAACUUCCUCAUCAACUUGUGUUGUGAAAAUAUAUAAAGCCCCAUUUUCCUAGCAAUAAAACUAGUAUAGCGCUCCUCAUAAAAUUUUACAAACCCGUGUUGAAUGCAUGCAUGGCUC